CAAACUAAAAAAAAAAAGAUUUGCUUUAAUGGCGAUUGUAGAGAGUUAUCGAGUCAUGGACGAUCAUGGACGAUCUAAUUCAGCUUCAUCUCCAGGGUAAAUCUUUUCUUUAUUUUCUUCAUCCUUGAUAUAUGGUUGAACACAAAAUAUUUGUUAAGCAAUUUUUUUUUGGUUUUUGCUAUCUUUUGCAUGUGGUUUCAAAUCGAGUUUAAUGUGUACUCCUAAUGAAAUCGAAGCAGAUCUGAGGCAGUCAAAGAAAGAUCAAUCUGAACUCAUUUGUUUUGGUAUUCAUCUUGGAGUUUUGUCACUUGAUAUGCCAUGCUCCAAUUGGAAGAAGGCUUCCUUGUACAUGUUCCAAAUACAUUUAUAAUAUUUACAUCAUUUAGAAUAAUAACUUUUUAAUAAAAAUGUGAAUGAAAAAUUUAGGAUUGCUUACAUUCUCAUCCACCAAGACGAAUUACAUGGUUUCUCCACCUAGUUGAAUGUUUUGUUUCCAAGAAUGUAGAACCUUUGCAUGAACCAUCUUAGU
This 529-nucleotide long non-coding RNA is filed under the name Brassica napus (rape). RNAcentral's name for it is "long non-coding RNA (BNAP_LNC005586)". The record is from RNAcentral. Lineage: Eukaryota; Viridiplantae; Streptophyta; Magnoliopsida; Brassicales; Brassicaceae.